Molecule: ribosomal RNA, 253 nt
Filed under: uncultured bacterium
Lineage: Bacteria
Description: partial 16S ribosomal RNA
Rfam family: Bacterial small subunit ribosomal RNA
Source: RNAcentral
UACGGAGGUGGCGAGCGUUGUCCGGAUUUACUGGGCGUAAAGAGCGCGCAGGCGGUCGUUCAAGUCGCGUGUGAAAGCCCCCGGCUCAACUGGGGAGGGUCACGCGAUACUGAUCGACUCGAAGGCAGGAGAGGGUAGUGGAAUUCCCGGUGUAGUGGUGAAAUGCGUAGAUAUCGGGAGGAACACCAGUGGCGAAGGCGACUACCUGGCCUGUUCUUGACGCUGAGGCGCGAAAGCUAGGGGAGCAAACGGG